Fragaria vesca subsp. vesca is the source of this 2463-nucleotide RNA transcript. It is a transcript of the gene named putative disease resistance protein RGA3-like, with no coding region annotated. NCBI's taxonomy places the organism in Eukaryota, Viridiplantae, Streptophyta, Magnoliopsida, Rosales, Rosaceae. The transcript is spliced from 3 exons. The record is from RefSeq and is a predicted model, not a curated record.
AUGGCUGAUGCUUUCGUUUACGUGCUGCUGGAACAACUGGCUUCAAUAAGCUAUCAACAGAUAGAGAAAGAGGUGAGGCUUGUUUGUGAGGUCAAGAAAGAAGUUGCCAAGAUCACCAGCAAUCUGAAAGCUAUUCAGGCCGUGCUCGAAGAUGCAGAGAAGAGGCAGAUCAAGGAAGUCAUCGUCAGAGACUGGCUGGAGAAGCUCAAAGAUGUGUCGUACGAGAUGGAUGACGUUCUUGAUGACUGGUCUACUGAGAUUCUCAUACAGCAACUUGAUCAUCACCAACAAGAAGGUGAAAGUAGUACUAGUACUGCUGCUGCUGCUGUUACCAAGAAGAAGGUAUGUUUUUACGUACCCUCCAACUGUUUUUGUUUUGGCCAAGUCAAGCGAGUGAUCCACCGCCGUGACAUUGCUCGUAGAAUACAAGAUUUGAGUGAUAGGUUGAAUGAGAUAGCUAGAGAAAGACAAAUCUAUAACUUUCAAAACACUGAAAAAGUCCCUGACAGCUUGAGAGGUUUGAAACUUCAUCUUUUGUCGAUUUGCUCCAAGACAUUUGGCAGGGAAGAUGAAACUGAAGUAGUCAUGGGCAAGUUGGUCGGCGAGAGUAGUCAAGAGGCGAGGAACCUCCUAGUUAUUUCUGUAGUAGGAAUGGGGGGUAUGGGGAAGACAACUCUUGCCCAGAUUGUCUAUAAUAAUGAAAAGGUGAAGUCAAAUUUCACAAAGAGAAUAUGGGUUUGUGUUGCAGACCCAUUUAAUGAGAUCAAGAUUGCCAAAGCUAUUGUUCAAAAUGUCAAUAAAGGUGAUGCUCCCAAUUCAAAUGAUUUGCAACCUUUAUUGGAAUGUAUACAUAAAAAUGUAGAAGGCCAAAAGUUUCUCCUUGUGUUGGAUGAUGUAUGGAACGAAGACUAUAGAAAGUGGGAGCAAUUGAAGCUAUCUCUACAAAGUGGUUAUGUAGGUAGUAGAAUAUUGAUCACCACACGAAAAGAGGAAGUUGCUAGGAUGAUGGGAGCAACAAACGCUAAUAUGAUACACUUGGGGAAGUUGAGUGAACAAUGUUGUUGGUCGAUAUUCUAUCACCUUGCAUUGGCUGAGAGGGAAAAAAAUGAGUCAGUAGUGUUAGAAUCUUUGGGUAAGAACAUUGUAAAAAGGUGUCAAGGUUUGCCUCUUGUUGCAAAGGCUUUAGGUAGUCUGAUGCGCUCAAAGAUAACCAAGAAAGAAUGGGUAGCUGUUUUGGAAAGUAAGGUUUGGUAGUUGGAUGUAGUUGAGAACCAAGUUUUUCCACCGUUGUUACUAAGUUAUUAUGAUUUGGAUCCGAAAAUCAAGCGUUGUCUUUUGUAUUGUGUAGUUUUUCCCAAAGAUCAUGAUAUUAACAAAGAAAAUGUGAUUGAGUUGUGGAUGUCGCGAGAUUUUAUGAAAGAUAAACUUGGAAAUAUUAAAAGAUGCAAAAUGCUUGACAUUGUGCAUGACUUUCUCCAGUUUUUGACCAAGAAUGAGUGUUUUAUGUUGGAUGCCCAAGGUAAAAACAGAAUAGAGUUACCAGUGGGGAAUAAGUUUCGCUAUUUGACCGUAACGGAUGCACUCAAGGGUCCAUUUCUUGUUUCCCUUGACACUGGGGAAAGUUUAAGGACUCUGGCGACUUUUAAUUGUGAAAUUGUUACUCUUAACCCAGAGUUCGUUUUACAAUUAAACCGCCUGAGGACCUUGAAUUUGAGAAAUAAUCGUAUGGAACAACUUCCAGACGAGGUUGGCGGAUUGAUGCACUUGAGGUACUUGGAUUUAUCAGGCAACAAAUGGAAGAAAUUACCCGACAGUUUGUGUAAUUUGAUCAACAUGGAAACCUUGAGACUUGAAGAGCGCGAAGUUCUUGAAGAGUUACCCGAGGGCAUGGGAAAGCUGACUAACUUGCGACAUCUCCAUGUUAAGAAAAGUGAUGCUCUCAAGUUGCCGAAAUCAAUUGCCAAGCUGACGAGUCUACAGACUCUAGAUCAAGUUAAUAUUUUUGGCGACGGCUUCCAUUUAAGUGAUUUGAGAAACAUGGAUCAGCUUCAGGGAAAGCUUUUGAUAAACUGGAAGGGCCCAGUGUUUGAUGGCGCCAAGAAAGCAAACUUGGUGAACAAGAAACACCUUGUUUCGUUGACACUACGUCUUUGGGGUGGGGAAAGCGACGAAAUGCUGAAUGCCUUACAGCCGAAUCCAAAUCUGGAAUCUUUACAGAUCCAACGUUACAGUGGCAACACAUUGUGCCCUAACUGGAUGAGCAUGUCAUUAAAUAAUUUGAGAUACCUUGCCUUGAAAGUGAAAAAGCUGGGAUUCGAGUAUUCCCAGCUCGACUCAUUCUCCUCAUCUUCAUCAUCACUUGAACUCACUUUAUUCCCAUAUCUGAAGACACUGGUGUUGAAGGGCCUGCUUGAGUGCGAGGAGCGGGAAGGAAUUCCAGCUGGGUUUGAGUGCAUGUACUAA